This is a long non-coding RNA of Pipistrellus kuhlii (Kuhl's pipistrelle), 610 nucleotides long. RefSeq lists it as uncharacterized. The transcript has 2 exons. Lineage: Eukaryota; Metazoa; Chordata; Mammalia; Chiroptera; Vespertilionidae. The record is from RefSeq and is a predicted model, not a curated record.
GAUGAGGGUAGGAAUCCAAAUUUUGACACUGUGGGAGCAGGGGGGACAAAAAAGAAAAGAAGGAGGAGCUUUGGGUGUUUAAGAUUACCUACUGACCACACUGACCUCCCCUCACAAACCUACAAGCAGGCGUUCAGAGUCUGAUGCUUGACUUAAUCAUAUUAGCGAAGAUUAUAAAGAAGCUUUAAAAUCCCAAGACUAGUGUUCAGUGCUAGAAUUGUUUGGAGAGCAUUCGUGAGAAAUCGAUUCUCAAACACCCAGAGAAAGAGGCAGUUCACUCAGCAAGUUAAAGCUGAGGGAAGGGUUGCCUAACAUAGACUUGAAGCAAGUUCCACAAUUCAGGUGCAUGAACUAACUUUCUAUCUUGUAGCCCACGAAGACCACCACCCAGCAUGGACGAAAAUGUAGAGAAGGAGAGACUGAGGAAGGAAGUUGCUCAGCUCCGCCGAGAAGCGGCUCUGGAAAGAAUGAAGGUCUCCCAGUGCUGCGCAGACCUGCGGGAUUAUGUCCUCCAAAAUGCUGCCAACGACCCACUGGUGCAGGGUAUUCCCGAUGACAAAAACCCCUACAAGGAGAUCAAGGGAGGCUGUGUGAUGUUUUAAAGAAAUAA